GAUGAAGAACGUAGUUAAAUGCGAUAAGUAAUGCGAAUUGCAGAAUUCAGUGAGUCAUCGAAUCUUUGAACGCACAUUGCGCCCUGUGGUAUUCCGCAGGGCAUGCCUGUUCGAGCGUCAUUUCAACCCUCAAGCUCUGCUUGGUGUUGGGCCCUGCCCGCUGCGGCCGGCCCUAAAGACAGUGGCGGUGCCGCCUGGCCCUGAGCGUAGUACAUCUCUCGCUCCAGUGCCCGGUGGUAGCCUGCCAGAACCCCAACUCUCGUGGUUGACCUCGGAUCAGGUAGGGAUACCCGCUGAACUUAAGCAUAUCAAUAAGCGGAGGA
Molecule: unclassified non-coding RNA, 323 nt
Filed under: soil metagenome
Description: partial contains 5.8S ribosomal RNA, internal transcribed spacer 2, and large subunit ribosomal RNA
Rfam family: 5.8S ribosomal RNA (bases 1-120)
Source: RNAcentral